RNAcentral lists this microRNA precursor (86 nucleotides) under Fukomys damarensis (Damara mole-rat). RNAcentral's name for it is "mir-146 microRNA precursor family". It matches the Rfam family "mir-146 microRNA precursor family". The record is from Rfam by way of RNAcentral. Lineage: Eukaryota; Metazoa; Chordata; Mammalia; Rodentia; Bathyergidae.
CUGGCCACCUGGCUCUGGGAACUGAGUUCCGUAGGCUGUGGGCUGCAACAGUGCCCUGGGCUCAGUUCCAGUGCCAGCUGUGCUGC